AACGAACGCUGGCGGCGCGCUUAACACAUGCAAGUCGAACGAGAAGGCGUAGCAAUACGCUUGUAAAGUGGCGAACGGGUGAGGAAUACAUGGGUAACCUACCCUCGAGUGGGGGAUAACCCGCCGAAAGGCGGGCGUAAUACCGCGUACGCUUCCGAUCUCGCGGGAUCGGAAGGAAAGCUGGUCCCAAGGGAUGGCGCUCAAGGAUGGGCUCAUGUCCUAUCAGCUUGUUGGUAGGGUAACGGCCUACCAAGGCAUCGACGGGUAGCUGGUCUGAGAGGACGAUCAGCCACACUGGCACUGCGACACGGGCCAGACUCCUACGGGAGGCAGCAGUGAGGAAUAUUGCGCAAUGGGCGAAAGCCCUGACGCAGCGACGCCGCGUGGGGGAUGAAGGUCUU
This 401-nucleotide ribosomal RNA is filed under the name uncultured bacterium. Its description in RNAcentral is "bacterial SSU rRNA". It matches the Rfam family "Bacterial small subunit ribosomal RNA", at positions 29 to 418 of the family's 1533-position model. The record is from RNAcentral.